This is a long non-coding RNA of Psammomys obesus (fat sand rat), 5186 nucleotides long. RefSeq lists it as uncharacterized. Lineage: Eukaryota; Metazoa; Chordata; Mammalia; Rodentia; Muridae. The transcript is spliced from 4 exons. The record is from RefSeq and is a predicted model, not a curated record.
UUUAGUCAUAAAAACUAACAGGAACUCACAUGCUCACUAAAGCUGGGGACCCAAGGCAAUUCCACCUGCAGCUGAAGUUUGACUCCACUAAGCUCUAUCUCCAAUAUCUGUCACAUAUUUUUGUUUUAUUUUGCUUUUUGAGGCUGGGUUUCUCUGCAUAGUCUUGGCUGUCCUGGAACUCACUCUAUGGACCAGGAUGACCUCAAACUCACAAAGACCCACCUACUAUUGCUAGGAUUAAAGAUGAGGAAACCAAGACUCAGCAAAAUUCAAUAACUUCCCUGAGCUUUCACAAUGAGAAGGCAACAGAAGCAGGAUUGGAACCAAAUUGGAUUUCCAAACUCAAAUGACUGAUGAAUGAGCUCCAAUAGUAUUGCAUAUCACCCUAAUGCCUCAAAAGAGCAGAUCAAAGUGUUGGUAAUCCACAGUCUACAAUUGUCGAGUUGUCAGAUCAUCUGUCUUUUUUUUUUUUUCAUACAUUGAUGACAAUAAUUUCAGAUUUGUUAAAUAACAUGCUACAGUUCCAAUGCUUCAUGCCUUUCUUAGAACAUGGGAUAGGAUGUGCUCUGUAUACAAGUUAGCUGGCUCCUUGCCCUUCCUCCUCCUCUCUAUCAGGUUCAUUACUUGGACUGACAAGAGGGCAAGUAAUGGCAUAGGAGAAGUUAGCCUCAAAUGCUUGUUGUUUCUAGAAAGUAUCCAGCAAGUAAUGGCAUAGGAGAAUUUAGCCUCAAAUACUUGUUGUUUCCAGAAAGUAUCUGGCUAAUUUAUUUCAAAAGGCUUUUGCUCCUAUGAAGUUUAAUCGAGUUAGUGCGUAUUAAAGGACUCGCUUAAUCUUCAUCUGAAUGUGAGCAGUAAAUGUGUUUUGGAGAUUAUAUUCAUUCCCCAGUGACUGUGAGUACUUUCCUAUUCUAAAGCUGAUUCUUAUCCUUCAGAGGAAAAGGGUUUCAAUUCUAUGGAGUCACCAAAAUAAAAUACAGAGUCACAAGCAAAGUGGUUGUUUACCCUUUGGUACAGGAACACACCCAGCAAGAGCCACGAUGUGAAGGCUGACUCCUUAAUGAGCCAUCCUUUGUGCUACUCGCCUUCUGAAUAUGUACAAGACUAUGGGUGUCUGCAAAAAGCCUUCAAAAUCACCGGGCUGGGAUAGGGAGCUACCAUCUGUGAGCUGCUGGUAUUCCACUUUGUUGCUUCUAAUGGAAGGCCAGCUUAUCCACUAUGGGUGGAAUUGCUAAGCCCUGUCAGGGGAGAGAUUUUUCCAAAUAAAUUUUAAUGGCUUGGAAUCAAGUUCAAUUCAUGAAAAAAAAAAAAAAACGAAAGACAGGAAAGCUUGCUUGGUAUCAUAUGAGCAAUACUAAACUUUUACAUCCUGUAAGCACGUGGGAUGUACAAGUUGCUGGGAGAGUAUGAAGAAUUUGUGUUCCUCUGCCAGAAGAAAUUCAUCCUAGCAUUAUCUGAGGAAGGUCUUUGAUUUCUUCUCUGUGUUAGUGAAAUAGUCUUGAAUCAGAUAGGAACACAGACGGUCUAGUUACACAAGAACUAGACAGUAAGUUCAAUGGUGUGGGGUGAAAGAUGACUGACCGAUCAAGAAAGAUGGCAGCCAAGGAUGUGUAGUUGCUAUCUCACAUUGGGUCACAUCCUAACAAUUCCCUUCUGAAUUAUGCUUCUAGACACCCCCAGGCUUGUUGAUCAAAUGGAAACAUAUAAUCUAAUAGAUUAAAACAAAGCAAAAUAAAAUAAAAACAAACAAAAUCAAUAAAAACCCACAUAGCCAAAUUCUAGUCUCAGUUGGGAUUAGAACCCAAAUAUUUCUGUGGCCAAUAUUUCUGCGACUUUACUAACUGUUGGCCUAGGGGUGGGAGGUAGGGGAGUCAUACAGUACAAGGUCAGUUCUGUUACCCAUGUGGCCUUGAGCAAAUAAUUUACUCUGUUGAAUAAUCAGUUCCAUCUGCAAAAUACGGAUAAUUACUAUGAUUGACACAUGUUAUUUCAUUGCCAUAAGGAAAAAAUGAGCUAAUACAUUUGCAAGAGCGUUAGAGGCAGAUAAGAGCUACUCAAAUAUAAUUUACGGUCAUUUAUUGAUGGUGAUGAUGACAACGACCGUGACAAUGGUGAUGAUGAUCACUGUAUCACCAAAGACAUCUCAAAGAAUACUUUAAAGUAGUGACACUCUUUAGCAUAAAGAUGUUCAUGGAACAUGCACAGAAUUUGGUAUCUGAGAAGCUGCUGCUUGCCAAGUGGAAGGAUGACUCCAGGUACUAGGGAACCAGGCAAUGUAGGUUGGAAGGAAAUGAUGCCAUGGUCAAGUAUUAUGACCUCAUCUGAGGUGUUAUUAUGGUUAGAGACCAGCAAGAGAGCAAAGGGGAGUGCAGAGGGAAUCCAGAUGAGAUUGCAGUACUGGGCUACAGUGAGAUCUUUUUAUCUUUGUUAGCUGUUGGGUUCAGAUCAUAUUUUUGAACAAUGAGCAAGCAGCCUUAUGUCAAAACCAUCUGGGUCUGCUCAGGGACAGGCUUCCAGCUGCAUGAGAAUGGUGGUGGAGUCUUCAAAUAUUUAUGAACUUCAGAUGCAUGGCCUCUGGAGCUCCAGGAGGUGAAAGCACAUUCCAGAUGCAUAAAGGAUGGGCAACACCACAGGAGGCUCUGGUUCAAACAUCCCCAGUUGAGCAUGAGUUGCUACAGAUGUAAGCAAGAAAAGUCUGGAAGCUUCAGGACAAGUAAGUUUCAGAGUGAUCAGGCUCUGCAAUGAAAAAACACAGAGAUCCUGUCUCCAUGGAUGUGUUUAAGGUGGAUACAGUGUUCCCUUGUGGGACUAUGAGUCGGUCAGUCUGUUGGUUCUUUUUAUGCUUUUAAAAGUUGAACUCCUCAGAGUGAGAGAAAUAGGUUAUCCUUGUUGCCAAAGGUGUUGGAAUUCAUUCCAGCAUCUCACUGGUUUUGUUAUACUAGAAGCAGUUUGUUCCAGCUUGUUGAGAUGGCAGCAAUACCUUUGGCCUGGAACCUGGAUUUGAAGCCCUUGGGCAGACAGGGUUGACAAUGGACUGACUGUAAGAUAAAGUAUCAAAAGGCUACAGUCCACUAAAGGUAAGGAAGCAAAGAAGGGGACCUUUUGUCUUUUCCAACCCACCUGGGGCUUCUCAGAUGUGACUUUGAUCUUCCUAUGACUCUCAUAAGAAGUGUCCCUUCUCCAGACACAUUAUCUCUUCUCUUUUCACACCAGCAUUUUAAAGGUGGAAGAGGGGCACUGGCCCUGUAGAGGCCAUGAGGGUUCAGCUUGCAGAACAGAAGUGGGAAGUAAGGCCUUUUGUGAUUUUAUUUGAGCUGGGCUGCUGGCAGGCAAAAAGGAAGAGACAGUUAAGUGCACUGGGAUGGCCAGAUCACUGAAGGUGAAAGUUGUUCUCACAUCAGAAAGAAGUAUCUCUGGUAGCCCUGAUCAGCAAGGGAGGAGUAUAUAGCUAGUAACAAAUGGGAAAUGUAAGAUCAGUCUUUGUCCGUAAGCAUAAGGUAUGUGAACAUCUUAAAUACCGUCUGUGCAAGACACAGCAAGACAUCAUACCAAUGAUGAUCCCCAAAGAAUGAAGAGCAGAGGACAUGCUUUUUAUAUUCCAGGGUGCAAGUUUUGUCUCCAUUGUACCUUGUGUCUACUCUGCUUUGCAAGUUACAUGAAAACUAUGCACCGACUACAACUUCAGUGUGUCAUAACUUUAGAGAUAGAGCUCAUUUAAUUGCAGUGGCAUUAAGAAACACCUAACAACUGUCUACUGCUUAGGCCCCCUGUUCACAGCUCUUUCUCUAAGGAAAAAGUAUAUAAUUAAUGUGUUACAUCCUUCUAGUAAAUUUCACUCCAUGCCAGAGUUGAUUUCUCAUGUUUCUAGUUGAAGAACCCUGGCUUAUAUUAUUAUUUAUGUUGCCUCCUUUUGUUCAGUUAUUGUUUACUCAGAAUCACCAUCUGCCAAGCAUAAAUGCCAUUUCUGAAGAGCAUAACUCAUGCAUUCAAAAACCAAAGAAUUGAAUAAGGAGACAGAAACAAGUAAUAUGAAGUGCUACAGUGAGGAAUUAGGUGAGUUUUAGGAAAGCAGAGGAGGUGUGAGCAGCUUAGACUUCAUGGAAUCAGAGAAUUCUUCCCAAAGAGAAGAUGCUUUGGUUAUGUGUUGAUGGAUGAAAGAAGUCAGUACAGACACAGAACAGUGAAGAUAUAGAUGCAGGACAAUUGUGAGGUAUCUCCAUCAUAUUACCUUGAACAAUCUUGGAAAGGCCUUCACGAAUGUGUUCCGAAAAAUACAUGAGGAGGUUGGAAAUUAGACAUCAGGGCCAGGAUAUAUACAGCAGUUCCUUUCUGUUACAUGAACCAUAGAUUGAUUUCUCAGUUUCCAUUACCUGCCAUGGUGACCGCCAUACUCUGAAAAAAUGAAGUAGAAAAGUCUACAAAUGAGAAAUUCACGUUUUAAUUCUGUUGUAUUGAAUAUUUAUAAUGACCUCUUACACAGUGCUGUGUCGCAUGGGAUUUGCAUUAGCCCUCUGUUCGGUAUAGCCACCCUGUAUACAUUAUCCACCUACCCGUUCCAGUAAAUCUUCACUGACAACUUGAGGGCAUUUUAAAUCACUUAGAGGUAUACCUCUGGGCAUGUCUGUGAGGGCAUUUCUAGGAAGGUUUAACCUAAGAGGGAUGAGCCAUUAUGGAUGAGAGCUGGAGAUCCAGUGUGAAUCAAAAUGUAAGAGUGAACUGAGCAUCAUCAUUCAUCUCUUUCUGCUUCCUGGUUAUGGAUGCAAUUGGACCAGCUGCCUCAUACUCCUCCUGCCCCAGAGAGAACUUUUGGGACCACCUCACCUUCCCUUUCGGAAUGGAACUGUGAACUCAAACACAGUUUAACUUUCUUUGGUCAAAUCGCUUUUCUCGGGUAUUUUGUCAUAACAGUGAGAAAAAAAAAAUAACAUACGUUAUCCAUUAGUCUCUAAAUAGACAAAUUCGUUAUUGAUAGUCUCUGUAUCAAACUGUUUAUUUCCAUGUAGGCUUAGUACAAUAUUUUUGUUUUAUUUUUAGUCAUUAAAAUCAAUAUCUUCCUAAACCAAUCUAUAUACUAAACUCUGUAUUAGGUAUGUAUAAUCACACAAAAGUGGAAGAAAAGAAAAGAACUGAUGUUACAAUGUUGUCCUCUGGCAUCAACACAGGUGCCAUUCCCCAACACACACACACAC